AGUCACUGACAUUAGAUACCCCGUGUAGUCCCAGCCCUAAACGAUGCGCGUUAGGUGUAUCGGUGACCACGAGUCACCGAGGUGCCGAAGGGAAACCGUGAAACGUGCCGCCUGGGAAGUACGGUCGCAAGGCUGAAACUUAAAGGAAUUGGCGGGGGAGCACAACAACGGGUGGAGCUUGCGGUUUAAUUGGAUUCAACGCCGGAAAUCUUACCGGGACCGACAGCAACAUGAAGGCCAGGCUGAAGACUUUGCCGGAUUUAGCUG
Molecule: ribosomal RNA, 267 nt
Filed under: uncultured archaeon
Lineage: Archaea
Description: partial 16S ribosomal RNA
Rfam family: Archaeal small subunit ribosomal RNA
Source: RNAcentral